AUUGAACGCUGGCGGCAUGCCUUACACAUGCAAGUCGAACGGUAACGGGCCUUCGGGUGCCGACGCGUGGCGAACGGGCGAGUAAUACAUCGGAACGUGCCCGAUCGUGGGGGGUAACGAGGCGAAAGCUUUGCUAAUACCGCAUACGAUCUACGGAUGAAAGCCGGGGACCGCAAGGCCUUGCGCGGACGGAGCGGCCGAUGGCAGAUUAGGUAGAUGGUGGGAUAAAAGCUUACCAAGCCGAGGAUCUGUAGCUGGUCUGAGAGGAUGAUCAGCCACACUGGGAGUGAAACACGGCCCAGACUCCUACGGGAGGCAGCAGUGGGGAAUUUUGGACAGUGGGCGCAAGCCUGAUCCAGCCAUGCCGCGUGCAGGAUGAAGGCCUUCGGGUUGUGAACUGCUUUUGUACGGAACGAAAAGCCUUCUUUUAAUACAGGAGGGUCAUGACGGUACCGUAAGAAUAAGCACCGGCUAACUACGUG
RNAcentral lists this ribosomal RNA (482 nucleotides) under uncultured bacterium. RNAcentral's name for it is "partial 16S ribosomal RNA". It matches the Rfam family "Bacterial small subunit ribosomal RNA", at positions 30 to 507 of the family's 1533-position model. The record is from RNAcentral.